This 486-nucleotide ribosomal RNA is filed under the name uncultured bacterium. RNAcentral's name for it is "partial 16S ribosomal RNA". It matches the Rfam family "Bacterial small subunit ribosomal RNA", at positions 30 to 507 of the family's 1533-position model. The record is from RNAcentral.
AUUGAACGCUGGCGGCAUGCCUUACACAUGCAAGUCGAACGGCAGCACGGGUGCUUGCACCUGGUGGCGAGUGGCGAACGGGUGAGUAAUACAUCGGAACAUGUCCUGUAGUGGGGGAUAGCCCGGCGAAAGCCGGAUUAAUACCGCAUACGAUCUACGGAUGAAAGCGGGGGCCCUUCGGGCCUCGCGCUAUGGGGUUGGCCGAUGGCUGAUUAGCUAGUUGGUGGGGUAAAGGCCUACCAAGGCGACGAUCAGUAGCUGGUCUGAGAGGACGACCAGCCACACUGGGACUGAGACACGGCCCAGACUCCUACGGGAGGCAGCAGUGGGGAAUUUUGGACAAUGGGCGAAAGCCUGAUCCAGCAAUGCCGCGUGUGUGAAGAAGGCCUUCGGGUUGUAAAGCACUUUUGUCCGGAAAGAAAUCCUUGGCCCUAAUACGGUCGGGGGAUGACGGUACCGGAAGAAUAAGCACCGGCUAACUACGUG